CUUGGCCUGAAGGGAGCUCC
RNAcentral lists this microRNA (20 nucleotides) under Picea abies (Norway spruce). RNAcentral describes it as "pab-miR319j". Its record names the gene pab-miR319j. The record is from miRBase by way of RNAcentral. Lineage: Eukaryota; Viridiplantae; Streptophyta; Pinopsida; Pinales; Pinaceae.